AGCGGAGGAAAAGAAACUAACAAGGAUUCCCUUAGUAACGGCGAGUGAACCGGGAAAAGCUCAAAUUUGUAAUCUGGCUGUCUUCGAUAGUCCGAGUUGUAAUCUAUAGACGUGUUUUCCGUGCUGGACCGUAUCUAAGUCCCUUGGAACAGGGUAUCAAAGAGGGUGACAAUCCCGUGCUUGAUACGACCACCAGUGCUCUGUGAUACACGCUCUACGAGUCGAGUUGUUUGGGAAUGCAGCUCAAAAUGGGUGGUAAAUUCCAUCUAAAGCUAAAUAUUGGCGAGAGACCGAUAGCGAACAAGUACCGUGAGGGAAAGAUGAAAAGCACUUUGGAAAGAGAGUUAAACAGUACGUGAAAUUGUUGAAAGGGAAACGAUUGAAGUCAGUCGUGUUCUUUGGAUUCAGCUAGUUCUUCUAGUCUACUUCCUUUGAACGGGUCAACAUCAGUUUUGUCCGGUGGAUAAAGAUAGUAGGAAUGUAGCUCCCUCGGGAGUGUUAUAGACUAUUAUUGCAUGCACUGGGUGAGACUGAGGACUGCAGCUCGCCUUUUGGCCGGCCUUCGGGUACGUCGAGCUAGGAUG
This 584-nucleotide ribosomal RNA is filed under the name Cutaneotrichosporon moniliiforme. RNAcentral describes it as "LSU rRNA". It matches the Rfam family "Eukaryotic large subunit ribosomal RNA", at positions 49 to 625 of the family's 3401-position model. Lineage: Eukaryota; Fungi; Basidiomycota; Tremellomycetes; Trichosporonales; Trichosporonaceae. The record is from RNAcentral.